Pan troglodytes (chimpanzee) is the source of this 1709-nucleotide long non-coding RNA. RefSeq lists it as uncharacterized. The transcript is spliced from 4 exons. Lineage: Eukaryota; Metazoa; Chordata; Mammalia; Primates; Hominidae. The record is from RefSeq and is a predicted model, not a curated record.
AAACUCUCACUGAAGGUGCAGCUACCAAUACUCACAUUUUUACCAUAGGAUUCUGCAUUCCUGGACAUGAUUGAGUGGACCAGGGUUGGACACUUGACUCAAGAUGGAUUAAUGAAGAGAGAAGAUAAGAAUGUGAUAAAUGUGGAGAAUCAUGAUCUCAUCAUCUUGGGGGAAGUGGAUCAGGAAAAUAAAAGGAAGUAAAAGAGAAAGAAAAAGAAAGCUGAUCUGCAAACAAACAUGAAUGUACCAGAUGCCUGGCUCCUAUCUUGACGGGUCCAUCCUGCAUGGAAACAUGCAUGCUUUUCAUCUCUCCUGACUGUAAUUUAAGAGUAAACAACCACUACUACACCAUCUGCAGUAGCAGUCCAAUGUCAUUCUCAUGGAGCCAACAGAUAUUGUAAUAGCACUGCUUAAGAACCAGAAAACACCAAUGAUGCACUUCUCUCUUUGAGGCCUUCAAACAGGAUUGCCAACAGUUUAAGGAACCUCCCAUGCCUCUGCCUGUGUCAACUACAAUCAGUCUCUCUGAGCUCGUAUUUCUUCACCUGUGAUCUGGUUUUACUCUGUCCUGAGGAGGUGAUCUCAUCAGUGUCCAGCACACUCAGGGAAGUGAAGAGAAAGAGAUAGAGAAAGAGAGAAAAAAAAAACAGAGGAAGAUGGACAGACAUAAAGAAAAAUACCUCUUGGAUGCCACUUACACUCCUGGAUUCCUGGAAGAGAAGCAGUCAAAUAAAUACUACAAAGUAUGGGAUCAUUCCUUUAAAAAACACACUGACCUGAUCACCUAUAGACUAGCUCUAGCCUCAACAUGCUUCUGCCUCUGACUAAACAAUUUAAUAUCCCCUUUUCUUUGGGAAGAAUAAGGAGUAGAUGAGGAGAGAGCCAAGUAGAGCAAUAGAUGCUCAUGUAGAACUUUGUCCGUUUUCUCAGUUAUGUAGUUAUCCUUCUUAAAAUAAACACAGAAUCGACAAGUGUGCAGAAUCAACAAAUUACCCAACUGCAUGCUCCCCCAGAAGUAUCCUAGAGACUCGGCAACAUGACAAUUUGACUCAGUUCAUAAUCCCCACAACUUGUAGGCAUCAAUUGGAGAGUGUUUGACAGUGCAUUCUUGCAUGUGUGCUCUUAAGCACACAUGUACACAUUUGUAUAAGUAUUUUGUUGCAAUAGAGGAGAAUUUAAGUGGUUUGUUUGUUUCCAUGAAUACAUGUGAAGGUCUUAUAAAAUUUAAUAUCUUGUGGUCAUUUUAUUUACAAAAGGGCCUUGCCUAAUACAGGACCUAAGGGUUCAGAAGUUGUAAAAUGACCUGCUAGUGUCAUAGGAGGCCUGACAUCUCACUGAUCUCUUCAACAAAUAUCUCUCCAAUCUGUUGUAGGCAUUAAGCAUACAAGGGUGAGGAGAACAAGGCAGAGGUCACUUCUGAGAUUUUAGUGGUGGGAGUAUGAAAAAUAAACAACUAAUAAACAAGAUUAAAUCAUACGUUUUGUGAAAAUAAACCAAACAGUAGAUAAGAGAGUGACUGGUUAAGAAACUUUAUAUAAGCAAACGAUGGGAUAUCUCACCAAGGAGGUGAUGUUGGAGGCAACCUUGUAAAUAACUAGGAACAACUAUGCCGCUAGAACACCUUGGAGAACACUCCAGGCCCAGCCCUGGAGAGAGCGCUUGCUCAUUCAAAUAAGUCCUGUGAGUGGUUUGGACAAAAGAAAAAUAAA